UACGGGGGGGGCAAGCGUUGUUCGGAAUCAUUGGGCGUAAAGCGCACGUAGGCGGUUCGUUAUGUCGGAUGUGAAAGCCCUCGGCUUAACCGGGGAAGUGCAUCCGAAACUGGCGAGCUUGAGUACUAAAGAGGGUCGCGGAAUUCCCGGUGUAGAGGUGAAAUUCGUAGAUAUCGGGAGGAACACCAGCGGCGAAGGCGGCGACCUGGGUAGAUACUGACGCUGAGGUGCGAAAGCGUGGGGAGCAAACAGG
RNAcentral lists this ribosomal RNA (253 nucleotides) under uncultured bacterium. RNAcentral's name for it is "partial 16S ribosomal RNA". It matches the Rfam family "Bacterial small subunit ribosomal RNA", at positions 524 to 776 of the family's 1533-position model. The record is from RNAcentral.